This is a non-coding RNA of Camelina sativa (false flax), 470 nucleotides long. Lineage: Eukaryota; Viridiplantae; Streptophyta; Magnoliopsida; Brassicales; Brassicaceae. The record is from RefSeq and is a predicted model, not a curated record.
UUUACAGAUAUGGUGUCACUCCAUUCACUCCAGUGAAAGGGAUGCUUAUUCAGGGACCUCUGUCCAUCUGCUUUUUUCUUGCUAUUCAAAAUAUGGCAGAGAAGGUACCUUCAUUCCAAACAGGAGGUUGGUGAAAACCCAUUGUAGACAUCAAUCCAAGUAAGUAAACUACUCAAUUGGUCAAGAUUGUACAUGAUGAGCUACUGAAAUUGAUGGGUGGAGGAGAAAGUAUCUGAGCUACCAGCAUUUCAGCUUCUCUCUCUCCACGACAAAUCCCUUUUGUAUGGAGAUAUCUCGACAAAGACCAGCUCAUAUGCUCGCCUUAUUAAGAUAGAAUCAUUCCAAACCUUUUUGCUAAUGUAGAUGCCGAGGAGUUAUCUGGAUCAAGUACUACGGAGGUUUGUGCAGGGAAACCGGAUUGGAUCUUUGAAUCAUAACACGCUUUUGGAUCCUCUCAAUGGAGAACUCAG